Molecule: small RNA, 78 nt
Filed under: Escherichia coli
Lineage: Bacteria; Pseudomonadati; Pseudomonadota; Gammaproteobacteria; Enterobacterales; Enterobacteriaceae
Also listed under: 3 other names
Description: partial RtT sRNA
Rfam family: RtT RNA
About the family: This family represents a bacterial cis-regulatory element known as RtT RNA. The exact function of RtT is unknown although it is thought that it may be involved in changing the cellular response in relation to amino acid starvation.
Source: RNAcentral
CCAGCGAGAGAGCGUUGCCGCAGGCAACGACCCGAAGGGCGAAGCGCGCAGCGCUGAGUAAUCCUUCCCCCACCACCA